RNAcentral lists this ribosomal RNA (433 nucleotides) under uncultured Ruminococcus sp. RNAcentral describes it as "bacterial SSU rRNA". It matches the Rfam family "Bacterial small subunit ribosomal RNA", at positions 341 to 792 of the family's 1533-position model. The record is from RNAcentral. Lineage: Bacteria; Bacillati; Bacillota; Clostridia; Eubacteriales; Oscillospiraceae.
ACGGGAGGCAGCAGUGGGGAAUAUUGCACAAUGGGCGCAAGCCUGAUGCAGCGAUGCCGCGUGAGGGAAGAAGGUUUUCGGAUUGUAAACCUCUGUCAACAGGGACGAUAAUGACUAUACCUGUGAAGGAGCUCCGGCUAACUACGUGCCAGCAGCCGCGGUAAUACGUAGGGAGCAAGCGUUAUCCGGAAUUACUGGGUGUAAAGGGAGUGUAGGCGGGACUGUAAGUCAGAUGUGAAAUAUGCCGGCUCAACUGGCAGACUGCAUUUGAAACUGCGGUUCUUGAGUGAAGUAGAGGUAAGCGGAAUUCCUAGUGUAGCGGUGAAAUGCGUAGAUAUUAGGAGGAACAGCAGUGGCGAAGGCGGCUUACUGGGCUUUAACUGACGCUGAGGCUCGAAAGCGUGGGGAGCAAACAGGAUUAGAUACCCUGGUA